Molecule: ribosomal RNA, 201 nt
Filed under: Triticum aestivum (bread wheat)
Lineage: Eukaryota; Viridiplantae; Streptophyta; Magnoliopsida; Poales; Poaceae
Description: partial small subunit ribosomal RNA
Source: RNAcentral
AUGCGAAGGAUGUGGCCCGCUUCCAAGUGCGUCUGCGCGCCGGCCACCCACGUCGGGUCCUUCAAGUGCCGCUUCCACCGCACCAACUCCCAGGGCCAGGGAAGCCGCCCUUCUUCGCCCCCUUCACCGGCCGCGGCCAACGCGGUGCCGCGGCACCCGGCCUCGCCGUUCUCGUCCUCCGGCACCGUCACGACCCAGUGA